UAUUCAAUCCUACACGUUAUUGUACUACAGUACAGUAGGUGGCGGUAUACUGUAGUAUGCUGUUCAUGUCCGCAUCGUCAUACGCGCCAGCACCCCUGAAAGACUGCAGGAACAGAAACCCCUGGAAAGAUGAGUUCCCUAUUAAAGAGAGGCUUGAUGCUGUUUACUCCACACUCUUAGGCUGAUUUUGGAUUAUUUGUCUGUGAAGACACAGUAGUUCAGUUUCUGAAUCCCAUCAAGAAUGAAGACCUGCAGGCCACCAUAUUGAGCUGCAGGGUCUGAUGUCAUAAUAUGGCGCUUUUCCAAUGUAGGGUACAACUUGGCUCGGCACAAUGCAGCUCAUACCGCUUUCAUUGCUUUUCCAGUACAGUUUAGUAUCGCUUCAGAGUGGGUGAGAUUAUAGGCAGGGGUGCACAUAAGGGUGUGUAUGCGCGAUUAGAAACAAUUCCAGCGUACCAACGUUGCUGAAAUUUUGUUACAUAGUUAGCUAAUUUACUGCAACAUAAGGGAUUUCAUAACAUCUCGAUCACUCCCCAGUGACUGGUCCCAGUAUA
Long non-coding RNA from Paramisgurnus dabryanus, 554 nucleotides. RefSeq lists it as uncharacterized. The record is from RefSeq and is a predicted model, not a curated record. Lineage: Eukaryota; Metazoa; Chordata; Actinopteri; Cypriniformes; Cobitidae.